GCUUGGUGUCUUCGCUUCGGCAAGGCCCUUGCUUAAAUCACAUCCUAACACCUGUGAACUGUAAGACGUAUGAUGAGGUCUUUGGCCAAGUCAUCGUCUGCCCAUUUUUAACAAACAAUUAAUGUAACAAACGUAGUCUUAUUAUAACCUAAUAAAACUUUCAACAACGGAUCUCUUGGCUCUCGCAUCGAUGAAGAACGCAGCGAAAUGCGAUAAGUAAUGUGAAUUGCAGAAUUCAGUGAAUCAUCGAAUCUUUGAACGCACCUUGCGCUCUUUGGUAUUCCGAAGAGCAUGCCUGUUUGAGUGUCAUGAAAAUAUCAACCUUGACUUGGGUUUUGUGCUCUAGUCUUGGCUUGGAAUUGGGUGCUUGCCGCUUUUACGAGCGGCUCACCUUAAAUGUAUUAGCUGGAUCUGUCUUUGAGACUUGGUUUGACUUGGCGUAAUAAGUAUUUCGCUAAGGACAUUCUUCGGAGUGGCCUCGUUUCUAGGACGCUUGUCCGCUUCCCAAUACAAGUUCCACCUCGUGGACAUGACUUUUUUAUUAUCUGGCCUCAAAUCAGGUAGGACUACCCGCUGAACUUAAGCAUAUCAAUAAGCGGAGGAA
RNAcentral lists this ribosomal RNA (604 nucleotides) under uncultured Filobasidiales. RNAcentral describes it as "eukaryotic LSU rRNA". The stretch from base 156 to 309 matches the Rfam family "5.8S ribosomal RNA". The record is from RNAcentral. Lineage: Eukaryota; Fungi; Basidiomycota; Tremellomycetes.